RNAcentral lists this ribosomal RNA (375 nucleotides) under uncultured bacterium. Its description in RNAcentral is "bacterial SSU rRNA". It matches the Rfam family "Bacterial small subunit ribosomal RNA", at positions 521 to 896 of the family's 1533-position model. The record is from RNAcentral.
UAAGACGAAGGGGGCUAGCGUUGUUCGGAAUUACUGGGCGUAAAGCGCGUGUAGGCGGUUGCCCAAGUCGGGUGUGAAAGCCUUGAGCUCAACUCAAGAAAUGCACUCGGUACUGGGUGACUAGAGGACCGGAGAGGAUAGUGGAAUUCCCAGUGUAGUGGUGAAAUACGUAGAGAUUGGGAAGAACACCAGUGGCGAAGGCGGCUAUCUGGACGGUUUCUGACGCUAAGACGCGAAAGCGUGGGGAGCAAACAGGAUUAGAUACCCUGGUAGUCCACGCCGUAAACGAUGGGUGCUAGACGUUGGCGAGCUUGCUCGUCAGUGUCGCAGCUAACGCGUUAAGCACCCCGCCUGGGGAGUACGGCCGCAAGGUUG